Molecule: non-coding RNA, 68 nt
Organism: Ostertagia ostertagi
Lineage: Eukaryota; Metazoa; Nematoda; Chromadorea; Rhabditida; Trichostrongylidae
Source: the annotation of a GenBank genome assembly
AUCGGUGGUUCAGUGGAAGAAUGCUUGCCUGCCACGUGGGCGGCCCAGGUUCGGGUUCCGGCGCGAUG